This is a long non-coding RNA of Coregonus clupeaformis (lake whitefish), 1319 nucleotides long. RefSeq lists it as uncharacterized. The record is from RefSeq and is a predicted model, not a curated record. Lineage: Eukaryota; Metazoa; Chordata; Actinopteri; Salmoniformes; Salmonidae. The transcript has 2 exons.
UGCUGUACCCAUUUCACAUCUAUUAAAUAUAAUAACAAACACAUAGGCCUAUGAAUUAUUAACAACCCAAUAAAUUGUAUUGGGUUAUGCAAUUUACUUGCUGUAUUGAAAUACAAAAUAACAUAUAUUUAGAUGUAUCCUUUUCGAGUUUGUUUUUGGAAGAUACAUUUUGAAUAGGCUACAUGUGCUGAUUCAUUUUCUUUUCAAUUCUGUAGUAUAGUAGGCUAUUAUCCUCUGGACUAUAAAUAAGACAACUAAGAUAUCUCUCGCGGUGGGUUUUGUGUGUUGUGAUCCGGUGGAACCUAACUCUAAUGUUCCUUGAAUGAGCGACCUGAGGUCGGAUUAGGACCGCGGGGACUCCCCCAUGGCCCCGCCGCGCUUUACCCAAAUCCACCCGGACUACCCUCCACACACGGAGCUUCAGGACCCGCCAACGUGACACGUACUGUAAUAUGACCUCGAAAACAUAACAUGUACUAAGAAACGGUAAGUAGGCUAUGAGCAAAAAUAAAUAAAUAGAAGCAUUAGAAUAUAUCGGGUCAUCCGUUCAUGCAUCGUCAUGUUGAUAGGCCUCCUAUUGAAAUGAUUGCGGGGACACAAACAAACCCUGUGCCUUCUCGACCACACGCUCCGCCUCUUCGUCAAUCCAGACAAAUUCUACGACUUGAGCUAGAGCUUUUAAGCCGUAAUUGAGCACAGGGUGCCCAGGAAAACCAAAGGCACAGACCUGAGUUUUUAUAGCUCCUAUAGUAUUCUACAGCGGGGUUUUUUCCUCAGCCAGACCCCAUCAAACCGACCAGGCGUGAUAGGAAGUCGCCACCUACACGGACAAAGUCAGGAGCCGAAGCCGUCCAGCGACAUAAAAAAAACUAGACAUUCUAAAACUUAACAAAGACAGGUGACAGAAAUGUGAGGAGAGGGCGAUGGCGACGACAGAGGGACCGAGGAGGGACUACAAAAGAAAAAACAGCGCCUAGUGGGAACACUAUUCAACUCCAUGGUCAAUGGAGGGACGUGGCAUUAGCCUUACUAUCUCUUGAAUCAAUUCAAGGGAAACGACUGAUAUCUGUCUCGCGUUGAACUCCCAAGGACAGAGUGACACAAAGCGAGUAAAAUGACCUCAGCGACAGAGAGUGGACAACCGCAACAACAUAACUAACCUUGUGUUGCAUGGAAUAUGGAUUAUUCCCUAUAUAGCUCAAAAUUGGCGAGAAAAUAAUUUCACAAGGCAAAAGACACAUUUCAAACAUUUCACCAGGACCUUUGACUUGUGUAAAUAAUGUUGAAAUGGCUAUAGCUUAAUAAAUUGUGAAACAAAA